GGUUAAUAUUCCCGUACUUGGUGUUACUGCGAAGGGGGGACGGAGAAGGCUAUGUUGGCCGGGCGACGGUUGUCCCGGUUUAAGCGUGUAGGUGUGUGUUCCAGGUAAAUCCGGUUCACUUUAACACUGAGGCGUGACGACGAGGCACUACGGUGCUGAAGCAACAAAUGCCCUGCUUCCAGGAAAAGCCUCUAAGCAUCAGGUAACAUCAAAUCGUACCCCAAACCGACACAGGUGGUCAGGUAGAGAAUACCAAGGCGCUUGAGAGAACUCGGGUGAAGGAACUAGGCAAAAUGGUGCCGUAACUUCGGGAGAAGGCACGCUGACACGUAGGUGAAGUGAUUUACUCAUGGAGCUGAAGUCAGUCGAAGAUACCAGCUGGCUGCAACUGUUUAUUAAAAACACAGCACUGUGCAAACACGAAAGUGGACGUAUACGGUGUGACGCCUGCCCGGUGCCGGAAGGUUAAUUGAUGGGGUCAGCGCAAGCGAAGCUCCUGAUCGAAGCCCCGGUAAACGGCGGCCGUAACUAUAACGGUCCUAAGGUAGCGAAAUUCCUUGUCGGGUAAGUUCCGACCUGCACGAAUGGCGUAAUGAUGGCCAGGCUGUCUCCACCCGAGACUCAGUGAAAUUGAACUCGCUGUGAAGAUGCAGUGUACCCGCGGCAAGACGGAAAGACCCCGUGAACCUUUACUAUAGCUUGACACUGAACAUUGAGCCUUGAUGUGUAGGAUAGGUGGGAGGCUUUGAAGCGUGGACGCCAGUCUGCGUGGAGCCGACCUUGAAAUACCACCCUUUAAUGUUUGAUGUUCUAACGUGGACCCGUGAUCCGGGUUGCGGACAGUGUCUGGUGGGUAGUUUGACUGGGGCGGUCUCCUCCUAAAGAGUAACGGAGGAGCACGAAGGUUGGCUAAUCCUGGUCGGACAUCAGGAGGUUAGUGCAAUGGCAUAAGCCAGCUUGACUGCGAGCGUGACGGCGCGAGCAGGUGCGAAAGCAGGUCAUAGUGAUCCGGUGGUUCUGAAUGGAAGGGCCAUCGCUCAACGGAUAAAAGGUACUCCGGGGAUAACAGGCUGAUACCGCCCAAGAGUUCAUAUCGACGGCGGUGUUUGGCACCUCGAUGUCGGCUCAUCACAUCCUGGGGCUGAAGUAGGUCCCAAGGGUAUGGCUGUUCGCCAUUUAAAGUGGUACGCGAGCUGGGUUUAGAACGUCGUGAGACAGUUCGGUCCCUAUCUGCCGUGGGCGCUGGAGAACUGAGGGGGGCUGCUCCUAGUACGAGAGGACCGGAGUGGACGCAUCACUGGUGUUCGGGUUGUCAUGCCAAUGGCACUGCCCGGUAGCUAAAUGCGGAAGAGAUAAGUGCUGAAAGCAUCUAAGCACGAAACUUGCCCCGAG
This 1392-nucleotide ribosomal RNA is filed under the name Salmonella enterica. RNAcentral's name for it is "partial 23S ribosomal RNA". It matches the Rfam family "Bacterial large subunit ribosomal RNA", at positions 1428 to 2803 of the family's 2925-position model. The record is from RNAcentral. Lineage: Bacteria; Pseudomonadati; Pseudomonadota; Gammaproteobacteria; Enterobacterales; Enterobacteriaceae.